AGGAAAAGGACUCGGCAGUGCUCACACUUGAAGGCCCUAAUCUGUUCUCCUUCUCCAUUGAAGACCUUGUAGAUGUCCUUCAGAGAGCCCUUAGGAGCCUUGGUAGUAUCCAAAGCUUUGACAUCCUCCUUCAUUUACCCACAAGAACAGAAAGAAAAGUUACCGAAAGCCUGAGGCAGUCCUUUGUGUAUAACUCAGGGGCUUCAACUGACAUAGUAUAAACUAUGGCCUUUACAGUCGCCCUUCGGCCGUCUUUCAAUGAGUUCUCAAUAAAUCCCUCCAGCUACUCUUAGAGUAGUAUUUUGGUGAUGUGUUAGUUCUUCAAUUUCAGAUUAAAAGGAAACCUUCUUUAAGUGUU
Molecule: non-coding RNA, 358 nt
Organism: Macaca mulatta (Rhesus monkey)
Lineage: Eukaryota; Metazoa; Chordata; Mammalia; Primates; Cercopithecidae
Source: RefSeq, a predicted model, not a curated record